Molecule: ribosomal RNA, 522 nt
Filed under: Triticum aestivum (bread wheat)
Lineage: Eukaryota; Viridiplantae; Streptophyta; Magnoliopsida; Poales; Poaceae
Description: partial small subunit ribosomal RNA
Source: RNAcentral
AUGCUUCAAGGCAGCAGCAUUUCCAACCAGAAGACCUUAUAUGAAGUCCUAUCUGUGCCUGAAGAUGCUACAUAUGACGAAAUACGUACAGCAUACAAGUGUGCUGCUUUAAAUACACAUCCUGACAAAGCACAGCCGACUCUUGAGCCAUUUGUGCCUACCGGCGAGCAACAUGAUUUUUUCGGUGUGCAAAAGGCAUGGGAAACCCUACGCUACCCUAAAUGUCGGGCAGAGUAUGAUAAACAGCUGCAAUCAUCCAGACAGAGCCUUGAUGUCAUCGCAACCGAUAUCGAAAUCGAGGAUAUGAUUGUUGAGAGCUCUGAUGAUGGUGUGGAGCUAUUGUACGCCUGUAGAUGCGGCGAUUAUUUUUCGAUCACAUCUUGCGAGCUUGGUGAAAUGGGAAUUUUGGUGAGUGAAGAUGGGGAAAUAGAAGCGCAGGCACCUGAUUCUUUACCAACAUCUAUUGUUCUGGGAUGUGGCUCGUGUUCUCUUAAAACACGGCUGGUUAUAAAUAAAACUUGA